RNAcentral lists this microRNA (23 nucleotides) under Caenorhabditis elegans. RNAcentral describes it as "cel-miR-5545-3p". Lineage: Eukaryota; Metazoa; Nematoda; Chromadorea; Rhabditida; Rhabditidae. The record is from miRBase by way of RNAcentral.
ACUUUUGUAGAUCAAACCGACAU